UUGAUAAGUCUCUGGUGAAAUCUCACAGGUUAACUGUGGGAAUUGUUGGGGAUACUGUUAGGCUUGAGGCCGGGAGAGGUUGGAGGUACUCCCGGGGUAGGGGUGAAAUCUUGUAAUCCUGGGAGGACCACCUGUGGCGAAGGCGUCCAACUGGAACGGACCUGACGGUGAGUAACGAAAGCCAGGGGAGCGAACCGGAUUAGAUACCCGGGUAGUCCUGGCCGUAAACGAUGUGGACUUGGUGUUGGGAUGGCUCCAAGCUGCCCCAGUGCCGAAGGGAAGCUGUUAAGUCCACCGCCUGGGAAGUACGGUCGCAAGACUGAAACUUAAAGGAAUUGG
RNAcentral lists this ribosomal RNA (339 nucleotides) under uncultured methanogenic archaeon. Its description in RNAcentral is "bacterial SSU rRNA". It matches the Rfam family "Archaeal small subunit ribosomal RNA", at positions 530 to 868 of the family's 1478-position model. The record is from RNAcentral. Lineage: Archaea; Methanobacteriati; Methanobacteriota.